GGUUAAGCGAAUAAGCGUACACGGUGGAUGCCUAGGCAAUCAGAGGCGAUGAAGGACGUGCUAAUCUGCGAUAAGCGUCGGUAAGGUGAUAUGAACCGUUAUACCCGACGAUUUCCGAAUGGGGAAACCCAAUAUCCAAUGGAUAUUAUCAUUAACUGAAUACAUAGGUUAAUGAAGCGAACCGGGAGAACUGAAACAUCUCAGUACCCCGAGGAAAAGAAAUCAACCGAGAUUCCCCUAGUAGCGGCGAGCGAACGGGGAACAGCCCAGAGUCUUAAUCAAUAGCAGCAUCAGGAGAACGGUCUGGAAAGUCCGGCAGUAAAGGGUGAUAGCCCCGUAUCCGAAGAUGCUGUUAUUGUGAACUCGACGAGUAGGGCGGGACACGUGUUAUCCUGUCUGAAUAUGGGGGGACCAUCCUCCAAGGCUAAAUACUCCUGAUUGACCGAUAGUGAACCAGUACCGUGAGGGAAAGGCGAAAAGAACCCCGGCGAGGGGAGUGAAAAAGAACCUGAAACCGUGUACGUACAAGCAGUAGGAGCCUCUUUAUGGGGUGACUGCGUACCUUUUGUAUAAUGGGUCAGCGACUUAUAUUCUGUAGCAAGGUUAACCGUAUAGGGGAGCCGUAGGGAAACCGAGUCUUAACUGGGCGAAUGAGUUGCAGGGUAUAGACCCGAAACCCGGUGAUCUAUCCAUGGGCAGGUUGAAGGUUGGGUAACACUAACUGGAGGACCGAACCGACUAAUGUUGAAAAAUUAGCGGAUGACUUGUGGAUGGGGGUGAAAGGCCAAUCAAACCGGGAGAUAGCUGGUUCUCCCCGAAAGCUAUUUAGGUAGCGCCUCGUGAACUCAUCUUCGGGGGUAGAGCACUGUUUCGACUAGGGGGUCAUCCCGACUUACCAACUCGAUGCAAACUGCGAAUACCGAAGAAUGUUAUCACGGGAGACACACGGCGGGUGCUAACGUCCGUCGUGAAGAGGGAAACAACCCAGACCGCCAGCUAAGGUCCCAAAGUCAUGGUUAAGUGGGAAACGAAGUGGGAAGGCUCAGACAGCCAGGAUGUUGGCUUAGAAGCAGCCAUCAUUUAAAGAAAGCGUAAUAGCUCACUGGUCGAGUCGGCCCGCGCGGAAGAUGUAACGGGGCUAAACCAUGCACCGAAGCUGCGGCAGCAACACUAAGUGUUGUUGGGUAGGGGAGCGUUCUGUAAGCCUGCGAAGGUGUACUGUGAGGUAUGCUGGAGGUAUCAGAAGUGCGAAUGCUGACAUAAGUAACGAUAAUGCGGGUGAAAAACCCGCACGCCGGAAGACCAAGGGUUCCUGUCCAACGUUAAUCGGGGCAGGGUGAGUCGACCCCUAAGGCGAGGCUGAAAAGCGUAGUCGAUGGGAAACGGGUUAAUAUUCCCGUACUGGUGGUAACUGCGAUGGGGGAACGGAGAAGGCUAGGUUGUCCGGGCGACGGUCGUCCCGGUUCAAGCAUGUAGGCAGAGUGAUUAGGCAAAUCCGGUCACUUAAUGCUGAGGUGUGAUGACGAACCACUAAGGUGGUGAAGCAAUUGAUGCCCUGCUUCCAGGAAAAGCCUCUAAGCUUCAGGUUACCAACAAUCGUACCCCAAACCGACACAGGUGGUCAGGUAGAGAAUACUCAGGCGCUUGAGAGAACUCGGGUGAAGGAACUAGGCAAAAUGGUGCCGUAACUUCGGGAGAAGGCACGCUGGCGGUAAGUGAAGUCCCUUGCGGACGGAGCCGAAGCCAGUCGAAGAUACCAGCUGGCUGCAACUGUUUAUUAAAAACACAGCACUGUGCAAACACGAAAGUGGACGUAUACGGUGUGACGCCUGCCCGGUGCUGGAAGGUUAAUUGAUGGGGUUAUCCUUAGGGAGAAGCUCUUGAUCGAAGCCCCAGUAAACGGCGGCCGUAACUAUAACGGUCCUAAGGUAGCGAAAUUCCUUGUCGGGUAAGUUCCGACCUGCACGAAUGGCGUAAUGAUGGCCAGGCUGUCUCCACCCGAGACUCAGUGAAAUUGAACUCGCUGUGAAGAUGCAGUGUACCCGCGGCAAGACGGAAAGACCCCGUGAACCUUUACUAUAGCUUGACACUGAACAUUGAGCCUUGAUGUGUAGGAUAGGUGGGAGACUAUGAAGUGUGGACGCCAGUCUGCAUGGAGUCAACCUUGAAAUACCACCCUUUAACGUUUGAUGUUCUAACCUAGGCCCAUAAUCUGGGUCGGGGACCGUGUCUGGUGGGUAGUUUGACUGGGGCGGUCUCCUCCUAAAGAGUAACGGAGGAGCACGAAGGUUGGCUAAGCAUGGUCGGACAUCAUGCGGUUAGUGCAAAGGCAUAAGCCAGCUUGACUGUGAGAGUGACGGCUCGAGCAGGUACGAAAGUAGGUCUUAGUGAUCCGGUGGUUCUGAAUGGAAGGGCCAUCGCUCAACGGAUAAAAGGUACUCCGGGGAUAACAGGCUGAUACCGCCCAAGAGUUCAUAUCGACGGCGGUGUUUGGCACCUCGAUGUCGGCUCAUCACAUCCUGGGGCUGAAGUAGGUCCCAAGGGUAUGGCUGUUCGCCAUUUAAAGUGGUACGCGAGCUGGGUUUAGAACGUCGUGAGACAGUUCGGUCCCUAUCUGCCGUGGGCGUUGGAAGAUUGAGAGGGGUUGCUCCUAGUACGAGAGGACCGGAGUGAACGCACCACUGGUGUUCGGGUUGUCAUGCCAAUGGCAUUGCCCGGUAGCUAAGUGCGGAAGAGAUAACCGCUGAAAGCAUCUAAGCGGGAAACUUGCCUCGAGAUGAGUCUUCCCUGUCACCUAGAGUGACCUAAAGGAACGUUUAAGACUAAGACGUUGAUAGGCUGGGUGUGUAAGCGUAGCGAUACGUUGAGCUAACCAGUACUAAUGAACCGUGAGGCUUAACCUG
This 2903-nucleotide ribosomal RNA is filed under the name Proteus terrae. RNAcentral describes it as "23S ribosomal RNA". It matches the Rfam family "Bacterial large subunit ribosomal RNA". Lineage: Bacteria; Pseudomonadati; Pseudomonadota; Gammaproteobacteria; Enterobacterales; Morganellaceae. The record is from RNAcentral.